RNAcentral lists this ribosomal RNA (617 nucleotides) under uncultured fungus. RNAcentral describes it as "eukaryotic LSU rRNA". It matches the Rfam family "Eukaryotic large subunit ribosomal RNA", at positions 23 to 664 of the family's 3401-position model. The record is from RNAcentral. Lineage: Eukaryota; Fungi.
ACCCGCUGAACUUAAGCAUAUCAAUAAGCGGAGGAAAAGAAACCAACAGGGAUUACCUCAGUAACGGCGAGUGAAGCGGUAACAGCUCAAAUUUGAAAGCUGCCAACAGGCCGCGUUGUAAUUUGUAGAAGCUGCUUUGGGUGUCGGCCCGGUCUAAGUUCCUUGGAACAGGACGUCAUAGAGGGUGAGAAUCCCGUAUGUGAUCGGUGCCGUUGCCCGUGUAAAGCGCUUUCGACGAGUCGAGUUGUUUGGGAAUGCAGCUCAAAAUGGGUGGUAAAUUUCAUCUAAAGCUAAAUAUUGGCCAGAGACCGAUAGCGCACAAGUAGAGUGAUCGAAAGAUGAAAAGCACUUUGGAAAGAGAGUUAAACAGUACGUGAAAUUGUUGAAAGGGAAGCGCUUGCAACCAGACUUGCGGGCGGUCGAUCAUCCGAGGUUCUCCCCGGUGCACUCGAUCGUUCUCAGGCCAGCAUCGGUUUCCGGGGUGGGAUAAAGGCGGUGGGAAUGUGGCUCUUCGGAGUGUUAUAGCCCACCGUGCAAUGCCGCCACUGGGGACCGAGGACCGCGCUUCGGCUAGGAUGCUGGCGUAAUGGUUGUAAGCGACCCGUCUUGAAACACGG